AAUUUUUGUUAUAUAUAAACCCUUAGAACUAGUUUAACCAGCAUAAAUAGUUUUACUGUUUUAAUUUUUUUAAGUUAUUUGAAAUGGCUCAACAUUCUUUCAUGUUAAUUAUCUUUCUUGUCUUCGUAUUUUCAGUCAUAUCAAUGAAAAAUGGUGUAGUCAUGGCAAAGGAGUGUAUUGCAACUCGUGAAGGUCAAUGUCUUCUUGAAGCAUGCGGAGCAUGGUGCUUUCAAACUUAUAAAGGUCAUGGAACUUGUGUUCAGGCUGGUGGAGAUCCAUUGCAUCCUGUGUUUAAAUGUAUUUGCAAUUAUGAUUGUUCCACUUAAUAGAAAAAUAUCGGAUUUAAUUAUAUUAAAAAUAUAAAAGAAUAUUAAAAUAAAGUUAAUAAAUUCGAAGCAA
This is a long non-coding RNA of Vicia villosa (hairy vetch), 399 nucleotides long. RefSeq lists it as uncharacterized. The transcript is spliced from 2 exons. Lineage: Eukaryota; Viridiplantae; Streptophyta; Magnoliopsida; Fabales; Fabaceae. The record is from RefSeq and is a predicted model, not a curated record.